This is a long non-coding RNA of Haliotis rubra (blacklip abalone), 179 nucleotides long. RefSeq lists it as uncharacterized. The transcript has 3 exons. NCBI's taxonomy places the organism in Eukaryota, Metazoa, Mollusca, Gastropoda, Lepetellida, Haliotidae. The record is from RefSeq and is a predicted model, not a curated record.
AGGUGCUACCUAAGUCAGUGCACCACCACACACCUGUCACAGAUCACCUGUGUAUACCUUCAGCUGGGCACACAGGUGCUACUCCACCACACACUUGUCACAGAUCACCUGUAUAUACCUUCAGCUGAGCACACAGGUGCUACUCCACCACACACCUGUAUCAGAUCACCUGUAUAUAC